CCUACGGGUGGCUGCAGUGAGGAAUAUUGGUCAAUGGGAGGAAUCCUGAACCAGCCAUGCCGCGUGCAGGACGACGGCUCUACGAGUUGUAAACUGCUUUUGUACCGGGGUAAAAUGCUCUACGAGUAGGGUUUUGAAAGUACGGUACGAAUAAGGAUCGGCUAACUCCGUGCCAGCAGCCGCGGUAAUACGGAGGAUCCGAGCGUUAUCCGGAUUUAUUGGGUUUAAAGGGUGCGUAGGCUGUGAGGUAAGUCAGCGGUGAAAUGCCCCCGCUCAACGGGGUGAAGUGCCAUUGAUACUGCCUUGCUGGAAUGCGGAUGCCGUGGGAGGAAUGUGUGGUGUAGCGGUGAAAUGCAUAGAUAUCACACAGAACACCGAUUGGGAAGGCAUCUCACGAAUCCGCGAUUGACGCUGAUGCACGAAAGCGUGGGUAUCAAACAGGAUUAGAUACCCUAGUAGUC
RNAcentral lists this ribosomal RNA (461 nucleotides) under uncultured bacterium. RNAcentral's name for it is "partial 16S ribosomal RNA". It matches the Rfam family "Bacterial small subunit ribosomal RNA", at positions 338 to 795 of the family's 1533-position model. The record is from RNAcentral.